GGGAGUGCGGCAGCUACACAUGCAGUCGAACGCUGUGCUAUUUAGCCACCGGAGCUUGCUCCACCGGAAAAAGAGGAGUGGCGAACGGGUGAGUAACACGUGGGUAACCUGCCCAUCAGAAGGGGAUAACACUUGGAAACAGGUGCUAAUACCGUAUAACAAUCAAAACCGCAUGGUUUUGAUUUGAAAGGCGCUUUCGGGUGUCGCUGAUGGAUGGACCCGCGGUGCAUUAGCUAGUUGGUGAGGUAACGGCUCACCAAGGCCACGAUGCAUAGCCGACCUGAGAGGGUGAUCGGCCACAUUGGGACUGAGACACGGCCCAAACUCCUACGGGAGGCAGCAGUAGGGAAUCUUCGGCAAUGGACGAAAGUCUGACCGAGCAACGCCGCGUGAGUGAAGAAGGUUUUCGGAUCGUAAAACUCUGUUGUUAGAGAAGAACAAGGAUGAGAGUAACUGUUCAUCCCUUGACGGUAUCUAACCAGAAAGCCACGGCUAACUACGUGCCAGCAGCCGCGGUAAUACGUAGGUGGCAAGCGUUGUCCGGAUUUAUUGGGCGUAAAGCGAGCGCAGGCGGUUUCUUAAGUCUGAUGUGAAAGCCCCCGGCUCAACCGGGGAGGGUCAUUGGAAACUGGGAGACUUGAGUGCAGAAGAGGAGAGUGGAAUUCCAUGUGUAGCGGUGAAAUGCGUAGAUAUAUGGAGGAACACCAGUGGCGAAGGCGGCUCUCUGGUCUGUAACUGACGCUGAGGCUCGAAAGCGUGGGGAGCAAACAGGAUUAGAUACCCUGGUAGUCCACGCCGUAAACGAUGAGUGCUAAGUGUUGGAGGGUUUCCGCCCUUCAGUGCUGCAGCUAACGCAUUAAGCACUCCGCCUGGGGAGUACGACCGCAAGGUUGAAACUCAAAGGAAUUGACGGGGGCCCGCACAAGCGGUGGAGCAUGUGGUUUAAUUCGAAGCAACGCGAAGAACCUUACCAGGUCUUGACAUCCUUUGACCACUCUAGAGAUAGAGCUUCCCCUUCGGGGGCAAAGU
RNAcentral lists this ribosomal RNA (1029 nucleotides) under Enterococcus faecium. RNAcentral's name for it is "bacterial SSU rRNA". It matches the Rfam family "Bacterial small subunit ribosomal RNA", at positions 40 to 1032 of the family's 1533-position model. Lineage: Bacteria; Bacillati; Bacillota; Bacilli; Lactobacillales; Enterococcaceae. The record is from RNAcentral.